UCCAAGCAGACAAGCCAACCUUCAUGUGUAUUUCCUGUUAUAUCUCUACUCUAUUCUUCUCUGCUCUGUUUUCAGGAAGAAGCUGGAUUGGUGGCUGUUUCCGGUUUCCAGCAUGCAGAUGGGUAUGCCAACGGCUGUUCCUUGGUUGAACUAUGCAAAGCAUCUCGCUGAAUUCCAAGCUGUACUAUUUUGGGUCUGCAUACAUACCCAAGCAGGGGAGAUAAAAGCUGCAAGUUGGGUAGAAAGCUCGGCAUGAUUCUCGGUAAUACUCUUUACUUGGUGCUUGAUGAUUUUUUUGAUGAUAACUCUUUACUUGGUACAAGGUAUUUGAUGAUUUUAAUAUAGUAUGACCCUGCUUUAGAUAGCAGUUUACAUACAUGCCUGAAUAUGUUCAAGAUGCAUUGCAUUGUGACACCAUCAAUGGUUCAACCGACUGUCAAACACACAGACGCGUCGGACACCGAAGGCAAAGGGCACCCAACUCUCAAGGGUGCAAGCAGAAAAAGAAGAAGUCAUUGGAAUAAUCUGAUCCUUUUCAGGGGCUAAUUGAGACCAGAAGAGGAAACAUCCAUUUCUGUACAUCAAGAAGCAUAGCAGAAAAAUUCAAUGUGUGACCAUUGUUGCCUCUGAUCUCUCUAUGUUCUUCACUGCCCAAAUGCCCAGCCACAUUCAUAGUGAAAAGAACCAUGUCUCUACAAAACAAACAUACAAGGUGGACCUGCUUUACUACCUGGUACCUGCACAUAGGGUCGUCAACACCGUCAUCCUGCCUGUUAUGCUGUCGUAUCAAGUUUGGGUUCAAAGGAGUCAAGUCAAAAAGGCCAAGAGCGCUAUGCAUGUGAUUCUCCACUAAUCUCUCCUCUUUACCAGUCGUAUACGUUCAUCAAUUCAUGUUUUUUAUCAAAAAUAGGGAAGAUGUAUUCAACUUCGCUUCAUCGUUUCUUAUUAGUUGUAGGUAAUUUAUAUUGAGCUGAAUUAGCAUCAUUUCUUGAACAAACAAUUCUUGCAGUACGGUUCGAGAGAUGGGACAAACGUAUGAGAAAUAAGAUACGCAAUCACCAAUUAAUCUAGCGGGACCAAGUUAUUACGGCGUAGAUUAAUCGAGUUUGACAGAAAUUACCCACUAUGCCACGGGCAAGUGAAAAAAGCGGUUCAUUUUAUUUUCCACCUGUCCUACCUUCUUCUCUCUCAGGCCUAUUCUUUCCCCCAUCUCCUUGCAGCGACUCAAAAAAAUCCACUUGCAGCCGCCACCGUAAGCCCUCGCCGCCAACCCACAAAAGAGUCCUGGCCGCCGGCUCUCCGGUGCUCUCCGCCUCCCUGGAAGGUUGGAUCUCGCCGUGGUCCCGAAAUCGCCGGCUCUCUCCACCCUUGAGGUCUCAUAUCUCCCAAGGAUCCUCUCCAACCCAGAGUUCCUCGUGGAGGGCACUAACUGACACCGGCGUGCGGGGGCGAGGCAGGCCGCCCCUCCUCCGACCAUCUAACCAUAGCAGCGUGGCUCCUCCGACGAGCGGAUGGGCUCUCCUCUCCCAUCGGCCGGCACCUCGACUCCGACUCCUACAGCUCGCGCCGGCCAACAUCCUCUAUCGCCAAAUCUUAACCACACCAUGUUCUUCUGGACAUCGUCGUGAACCUCCAAGCAGACAAGCCAACCUUCAUGUGUAUUUCCUAUUAUAUCUCUACUCUAUUCUUCUCUGCUCUGUUUUUCAGGAAGAAGCUGGAUUGGUGGCUGUUUCCGGUUUCCAGCAUGCAGAUGGGUAUGCCAACGGCUGUUCCUUGGUUGAACUAUGCAAAGCAUCUCGCUGAAUUCCAAGAUGUACUAUUUUGGGUCUGCAUACA
This 1836-nucleotide long non-coding RNA is filed under the name Triticum aestivum (bread wheat). Its description in RNAcentral is "long non-coding RNA (TAES_LNC004928)". The record is from RNAcentral. Lineage: Eukaryota; Viridiplantae; Streptophyta; Magnoliopsida; Poales; Poaceae.